GACUGGUCUAGGUGCAGUGGUGUUUAGAACUAAUUGAUCACAACCAGGUACAGAUUCUUUUGUUCCUUCUCCACUCUCACUGCUUCACUUGACUAGCCUAAA
Molecule: Y RNA, 102 nt
Filed under: Microcebus murinus (gray mouse lemur)
Lineage: Eukaryota; Metazoa; Chordata; Mammalia; Primates; Cheirogaleidae
Description: Y RNA (ENSMICG00000046711.1)
Rfam family: Y RNA
About the family: Y RNAs are components of the Ro ribonucleoprotein particle (Ro RNP), in association with Ro60 and La proteins. The Y RNAs and Ro60 and La proteins are well conserved, but the function of the Ro RNP is not known. In humans the RNA component can be one of four small RNAs -- hY1, hY3, hY4 and hY5.
Source: Rfam by way of RNAcentral